GCUAUACAUGCAGUCGAGCGGACAGAUGGGAGCUUGCUCCCUGAUGUUAGCGGCGGACGGGUGAGUAACACGUGGGUAACCUGCCUGUAAGACUGGGAUAACUCCGGGAAACCGGGGCUAAUACCGGAUGGUUGUUUGAACCGCAUGGUUCAGACAUAAAAGGUGGCUUCGGCUACCACUUACAGAUGGACCCGCGGCGCAUUAGCUAGUUGGUGAGGUAACGGCUCACCAAGGCGACGAUGCGUAGCCGACCUGAGAGGGUGAUCGGCCACACUGGGACUGAGACACGGCCCAGACUCCUACGGGAGGCAGCAGUAGGGAAUCUUCCGCAAUGGACGAAAGUCUGACGGAGCAACGCCGCGUGAGUGAUGAAGGUUUUCGGAUCGUAAAGCUCUGUUGUUAGGGAAGAACAAGUGCCGUUCAAAUAGGGCGGCACCUUGACGGUACCUAACCAGAAAGCCACGGCUAACUACGUGCCAGCAGCCGCGGUAAUACGUAGGUGGCAAGCGUUGUCCGGAAUUAUUGGGCGUAAAGGGCUCGCAGGCGGUUUCUUAAGUCUGAUGUGAAAGCCCCCGGCUCAACCGGGGAGGGUCAUUGGAAACUGGGGAACUUGAGUGCAGAAGAGGAGAGUGGAAUUCCACGUGUAGCGGUGAAAUGCGUAGAGAUGUGGAGGAACACCAGUGGCGAAGGCGACUCUCUGGUCUGUAACUGACGCUGAGGAGCGAAAGCGUGGGGAGCGAACAGGAUUAGAUACCCUGGUAGUCCACGCCGUAAACGAUGAGUGCUAAGUGUUAGGGGGUUUCCGCCCCUUAGUGCUGCAGCUAACGCAUUAAGCACUCCGCCUGGGGAGUACGGUCGCAAGACUGAAACUCAAAGGAAUUGACGGGGGCCCGCACAAACGNUGGAGCAUGUGGUUUAAUUCGAAGCAACGCGAAGAACCUUACCAGGUCUUGACAUCCUCUGACAAUCCUAGAGAUAGGACGUCCCCUUCGGGGGCAGAGUGACAGGUGGGGCAUGGUUGUC
This 1023-nucleotide ribosomal RNA is filed under the name Bacillus siamensis. RNAcentral describes it as "bacterial SSU rRNA". It matches the Rfam family "Bacterial small subunit ribosomal RNA", at positions 48 to 1053 of the family's 1533-position model. The record is from RNAcentral. Lineage: Bacteria; Bacillati; Bacillota; Bacilli; Caryophanales; Bacillaceae.